CUCUCACAGUUGAAGUGUACCUCUGGUGCAAAUUACUGACCUCUGUCAUCAUUUUAAGUGGGGGAACUUGCACAAUCGGUGGCUGACUAAAUACUUUUUGCCCCACUGUAAUGGAUAUAAGGACGUUUUUUCAAAAAAAGGAGCCACAUUCAGUCCAAAGAAGGAGACAGGAAAGUGGGGAACGUGAGGAGAAAGUACAAGGCCUGGAAGAACCAGGAAGGAACAGCUCUGAUCCUAGAAUUGUCACGGUCUGGAGGGCAGACCGUGGGGGAUGUAGGAGAAAGGACCCAAAACGCAGACUUAAUAGAAUGAACAGUGGGUUUAUUUACAGUGAGGUAAUUGUACACCACACAUUAAAUCUCCAAAAGUGCUCCCUCGACUCCCGUGACGUGUCUUCUCCCAAGUGCUGGUAUCCCGUGCUCUCUGCCCCUGUGCCUUCACACACCCCGUGUGUCUUGCAGUCCUGUGUUCCGCUGUCCUCCUGGGGAAAAACACAGACACAGCCGUUAUGGCACCAACUCCGGCAGGCAUACACUUUAACAACACUAGAAACACUGACAUGGAGUCUAACUCAACGAUCCUGCGCCGGAGGAAGCUCCAUCGCUCUGUUAAGUAGCUCCCCCGACGAUCCUGAUCAGAAGCAGAUGAACAAUUGCAGGGAGUGACAGAAGUAUUGGUGGAUUGACACAGGGUGGGUUUUUCCAGGGAGUCCAGCAGCAGUUCAUUCUCCCAUCUUCGGUGAAAGAUGGAAAUCCAACUUUCCAGCGUGGCUAUUUUCUGGCUGAGCUGAAAAAGAUCCAGAGCUAGUCGAUUGUAGCGGGUCUCUUUAGUGUAAUCCUUCUGAAACCAUUUAUGGGUAGGUAGCAACCAAAGGAGAAAUCCAUAGAGCAGAAGGACACCAACAGGUGUUCUGUUGGUGUUGGGCUGGUUGUCAGAAUUCAAUUGUUCAAACAAAAGUAGGUAGAAACAAAUAGUUUUAUAGUAUAAACAGAGUUUCAAGCUCACAGCAGAUGACCAGUUGGUAGUGUCGUGCAGCAAUAACCUAAAGUAAUGGGAGAAACGUGUCAAGCCAGCCAAAACUGAAAUAUGAUGAACAUGUAUUUUAGUAAUGAUGACUGCAAAUGAUGUAGAGGUACAUCAAAAUUUAUAUUUGUCUGCACAGAUCCACAAAAAAAAGUAGAAGCUUACACACAGAAGCUUAGUUGACAGAAGAAUAUCCAACCGAUUUACACAGACAACAGUAAGACAUCAUUUCUUUACUGCAGCUUUCCUGUCACUCUUUCUCACUUAGGCACAGGAGGAUGCUAAUGCUACCAACACUUUUUCCAAACUCACAGUCUUAGAGAGCACAACAGUGAACGGAUUUGAUUUAAAUCCCUAUCGUGGACAAUGAUUCACAGACGUAGAGCUAUCUAAACCAGAAGUUCCAAUAUGAGACACAACCAAUCAUGGCAGUCCGCCCCUCCAUGAGCCUGGUUCUGCCGGAGAUGCCUUCUUGUUAAAAGGGAGUUUUUCCUUCCCACUUUUGCAAAAGUGCUUACUCAUGUGAAUGUAAUAUUUUUACAUGGAAUAUUAAAUAUCUAUUUAAUAUUAUAUCAAUUUAUUUUAGUUAGUACUUAAACUGAAUUGAAUUUAAUAUAUCACAAGGAUGGACUGAGGUCUGAUUCAGCAAAUCCAGAUUUAUAUAACUAUUUUGUUUUGCUGAAUCAGAUCUAACCUCUGAAAGCAAACAAAUAUUCAAACGCUUCUGAUCAGUUCAGUCUCUUUUUUUUGUAACUACUCAGCAGUCAGAAAAUCAUUUAAAACCAAGAUCUAAACUACAAACAUACCAACAUAGCAAUUCUAAAAAUAAUAGUUUCUUGAGAAAAGAAUGUAUUUCUAUUGGCACACAACAGCAGCAGCAUUAUUUUAGAAAAAAAAUUACUAAGGUCAGUAUGAUUAAUCCUUCCAGAUUAAAAAAAAUGUUAUUGAGCCAUAGCACAAGCCACUGCUGUGAUAUAUAAGAUAAGAUAAGAUAGAACGUUAUUAAUCCCUCGGGUGGGUUCCUCUGGGAAAUUCGAUUUCCAAAAAAGCACAGCACCGACAGAAGUUACAGAGUUACAGAAUAUUAUAUAUAUAUAUAUAUAUAUAUACACACACACACACACACACACACACACACACACACACACACACACACACAUAUAUAUAAUACAGAGACAAUAAAAAUAAAAUAUACGAAGGGGAUAAAUAGAAUAAAUAGGAAUAAAAAAUAAAAAUACAAGUGAAUUGCACAUUUCAAGUAUUGAGGUCUAUUGCACUGUUGACUAUUUACAAAAGUAUUGCACAAAAGGUAUUGCACAGUGAGGUGAAGAGGCACUACAACUUAGUGUAGUGUAUUGUUGUGCACUGUGUAUUGUUGUGUGACCACGUUUUCUGCAUCUAGAAGACCUAGAUUAG
This is a long non-coding RNA of Astatotilapia calliptera (eastern happy), 2439 nucleotides long. NCBI's taxonomy places the organism in Eukaryota, Metazoa, Chordata, Actinopteri, Cichliformes, Cichlidae. The record is from Ensembl.